Molecule: ribosomal RNA, 253 nt
Filed under: uncultured bacterium
Lineage: Bacteria
Description: partial 16S ribosomal RNA
Rfam family: Bacterial small subunit ribosomal RNA
Source: RNAcentral
UACGGGGGGAGCAAACGUUGUUCGGAAUCACUGGGCGUAAAGGGCGUGUAGGCGGCUGGAUAAGUGGGAUGUUAAAUCCCCCGGCUCAACCGGGGACCUGCAUCUCAUACUGUUCAGCUCGAGCACAUCAGAGGAGACUGGAAUUCCCGGUGUAGCGGUGAAAUGCGCAGAUAUCAGGAGGAACACCGAUGGCGAAGGCAGGUCUCUGGGCCAUAACUGACGCUGAGAAGCGAAAGCAUGGGGAGCGAACAGG